UACGUAGGGUGCGAGCGUUGUCCGGAAUUAUUGGGCGUAAAGAGCUCGUAGGCGGCCUGUCGCGUCUGCUGUGAAAGCCCGGGGCUCAACUCCGGGUCUGCAGUGGAUACGGGCAGGCUAGAGUCCGGCAGGGGAGACUGGAAUUCCUGGUGUAGCGGUGAAAUGCGCAGAUAUCAGGAGGAACACCGGUGGCGAAGGCGGGUCUCUGGGCCGGUACUGACGCUGAGGAGCGAAAGCGUGGGGAGCGAACAGG
RNAcentral lists this ribosomal RNA (253 nucleotides) under uncultured Jiangella sp. RNAcentral describes it as "partial 16S ribosomal RNA". It matches the Rfam family "Bacterial small subunit ribosomal RNA", at positions 524 to 776 of the family's 1533-position model. The record is from RNAcentral. Lineage: Bacteria; Bacillati; Actinomycetota; Actinomycetes; Jiangellales; Jiangellaceae.